Molecule: ribosomal RNA, 376 nt
Filed under: uncultured bacterium
Lineage: Bacteria
Description: bacterial SSU rRNA
Rfam family: Bacterial small subunit ribosomal RNA
Source: RNAcentral
UACGUAGGUGGCGAGCGUUGUCCGGAAUUACUGGGUGUAAAGGGCGUGUAGGCGGUAUAUUAAGUCAGAUGUGAAAUUUCCGGGCUUAACCCGGGGGCUGCAUUUGAAACUGAUGUACUUGAGUGCAGGAGAGGAAAGCGGAAUUCCUAGUGUAGCGGUGAAAUGCGUAGAUAUUAGGAGGAACACCAGUGGCGAAGGCGGCUUUCUGGACUGUAACUGACGCUGAGACGCGAAAGCGUGGGGAGCAAACAGGAUUAGAUACCCUGGUAGUCCACGCCGUAAACGAUGAUUACUAGGUGUGGGAGGUAUCGACCCCUUCCGUGCCGGAGUUAACACAAUAAGUAAUCCACCUGGGGAGUACGGCCGCAAGGUUGAA